CUCAAACUGAUCUCUGAUCAGGUCACACAUAGAGCUCUCAAUCUGAUCUCAGAUCAGGUCAUACAUACAGCUCUCAAGCUGAUCUCAGAUCAGGUUAUUCAUACAGCUCUCAGGCAGAUCUCAGACAUCUGAUCUCAGAUCAGGUCACACAUAGAGCUCUCAAACUGAUCUCAGAUCAGGUCAUUCAUACUGCUCUGACGCAGAUCGCAGAGAGCUGAUCUUAGAUCAGGUCACAUAUAGAGUUCUCAAACUGAUCUCAGAUCAGGUCACACAUAGAGCUCUCAAGCUGAUCUCAGAUCAGGUCAUACAUACAGAUCUCAGGCUGAUCUCAGACAGCUGAUCUCAGAUCAGGUCACACAUUGAGCUCUCAAACUGAUCUCAGAUCAGGUCAUACAUAUAGCUCUCAAGCUGAUCUCAGAUCAGGUCAUACAUAGAGGUCUUAGGCUGAUCUCAGAACAGGUCAUACAGAGGUCAUAGGCUGAUCUCAGAACAGCUGAUCUCAGAUCAGGUCACAAAUGGAGCUCUCAAGCUGAUCUCAGAUCAGAUCAUACAUACAGCUCUUAAGCUGAUCUCAGAUUAGGUCAUACAUACAGCUCUCAAGCUGAUCUCAGAUCAGGUCAUACAUACAGCUCUCUGGCUUAUCUCAGAUCAGGUCAUACAUAUAGCUCUCAAGCUGAUCUCAGAUCAGGUCAUACAUAUAGCUCUCAAGCUGAUCUCAGAUCAGGUCACACAUGGAGCUCUCAAACUGAUCUCAGAUCAGGUCACACAUAGAGCUCUCAAGCUGAUCUCAGAUCAGGUCAUACAUACAGAUUUCAAGCUGAUCUCAGACAGCUGAUCUCAGAUCAGGUCACAUAUAGAGCUCUCAAACUGAUCUCAGAUCAGGUUAUACAUAUAGCUCUCAAGCUGAUCUCAGAUCAGGUCAUACAUAGAGGUCUUAGGCUGAUCUCAGAACAGCUGAUCUCAGAUCAGGUCACAAAUGGAGCUCUCAAGCUGAUCUCAGAUCAGAUCAUACAUACAGCUCUUAAGCUGAUCUCAGAUUAGGUCAUACAUACAGCUCUCUGGCUUAUCUCAGAUCAGGUCAUACAUAUAGCUCUCAAGCUGAUCUCAGAUCAGGUCAUACAUAUAGCUCUCAAGCUGAUCUCAGAUCAGGUCACACAUGGAGCUCUCAAACUGAUCUCAGAUCAGGUCACACAUAGAGCUCUCAAGCUGAUCUCAGAUCAGGUCAUACAUACAGAUUUCAAGCUGAUCUCAGACAGCUGACCUCAGAUCAGGUCACAUAUAGAGCUCUCAAACUGAUCUCAGAUCAGGUCACACAUAGAGCUGUCAAGCUGAUCUAAGAUCAGAUCAUACAUACAGCUCUGAAGCUGAUCUCAGAUCAGGACAUACAUACAGCUCUUAAGCUGAUCUCAGAUCAGGUUAGACAUACAGCUCUCAAACUGAUCUCAAAUCAGGUCAUACAUACAGGUCUCAGGCUGAUCUCAGAACAGGUCAUACAGAGAUCUUAGGCUGAUCUCAGAACAGCUGAUUUCAGAUCAGGUCACACAUAGAGCUCUCAAACUGAUCUCAGAUCAGGUCAUUCAUACUGCUCUCAGGCAGAUCUCAGAUCAGGUCACAUAUAGAGCUCUCAAACUGAUCUCAGAUCAGGUCACACAUAGAGCUCUCAAUCUGAUCUCAGAUCAGGUCAUACAUACAGAUCUCAGUCUGAUCUCAGAACAGGUAAUACAGAGGUCUUAGGCUGAUCUCAGAACAGCUGAUCUCAGAUCAGUUCACACAUUGAGCUCUCAAUCUGAUCUCAGAUCAGAUCAUACAUACAGCUCUCAAGCUGAUCUCUGAUCAGGUAAUACAUACAGGUCUCAAGCUGAUCUCAGAUCAGGUCAUACAUACAGCUCUCUGGCUGAUCUCAGAUCAGGUCAUACAUAGAGCUCUCAGGCUGAUCUCAGAUCAGGUCAUACAUACAGCUCUCAGGCUGAUCUCAGACAUCUGACCUCAGAUCAGGUCACACAUAGAGCUCUCAAACUGAUCUCAGAUCAGGUCAUUCAUACUGCUCUCAGGCAGGUCGCAGAGAGCUGAUCUCAGAUCAGGUCACAUAUAGAGUUCUAAAACUGAUCUCAGAUCAGGUCACACAUAGAGCUCUCAAGCUGAUCUCAGAUCAGGUCUUACAUACAGCUCUCAGGCUGAUCUCAGACAUCUGAUCUCAGAUCAGGUCACACAUAGAGCUCUCAAACUGAUCUCAGAUCAGGUCAUUCAUACUGCUCUCAGGCAGAUCUCAGACAGCUGAUCUCAGAUCAGGUCACAUAUAGAGCUCUCAAACUGAUCUCAGAUCAGGUCACACAUAGAGCUCUCAAGCUGAUCUCAGAUCAGGUCAUACAUACAGAUCUCAGGCUGAUCUCAGAACAGGUAAAACAGAGGUCUUAGGCUGAUCUCAGAACAGCUGAUCUCAGAUCAGUUCACACAUUGAGCUCUCAAUCUGAUCUCAGAUCAGAUCAUACAUACAGCUCUCAAGCUGAUCUCUGAUCAGGUAAUACAUACAUGUCUCAAGCUGAUCUCAGAUCAGGUCAUACAUACAGCUCUCUGGCUGAUCUCAGAUCAGGUCAUACAUAGAGCUCUCAGGCUGAUCUCAGAUCAGGUCAUACAUACAGCUCUCAGGCUGAUCUCAGACAUCUGACCUCAGAUCAGGUCACACAUAGAGCUCUCAAACUGAUCUCAGAUCAGGUCAUUCAUACUGCUCUCAGGCAGGUCGCAGAGAGCUGAUCUCAGAUCAGGUCACAUAUAGAGUUCUCAAACUGAUCUCAGAUCAGGUCACACAUAGAGCUCUCAAGCUGAUCUCAGAUCAGAUCAUACAUACAGCUCUCAAGCUGAUCUCAGAUCAGGUCAUACAUACAGCUCUCAGGCUGAUCUCAGACAUCUGAUCUCAGAUCAGGUCAUACAUAGAGCUCUCAAAUUGAUCUCAGUUCAGGGCAUUUAUACAGCUCUCAGGCAGAUCUCAGACAGCUGAUCUCAAAUCAGGUCACAUAUAGAGCUCUCAAACUGAUCUCAGAUCAGAUCAUUCAUACAGCUCUCAGGUAGAUCUCAGACAUCUGAUCUCAAAUCAGGUCACAUAUAGAACUCUCAAACUGAUCUCAGAUCAGGUCACACAUAGAGCUCUCAAGCUGAUCUCAGUUCAGAUCAUACAUACAGCUCUGAAGCUGAUCUCAGAUCAGGUCAUACAUACAGCUCUCAAGCUGAUCUCAGUUCAGAUCAUACAUACAGCUCUGAAGCUGAUCUCAGAUCAGGUCAUACAUACAGCUCUCAAGCUGAUCUCAGAUCAGGUUAUUCAUACAGCUCUCAGGCAGAUCUCAGACAGCUGAUCUCAGAUCAGGUCAUACAUACAGCUCUCAAGCUGAUCUCAGUUCAGAUCAUACAUACAGCUCU
Brienomyrus brachyistius is the source of this 3411-nucleotide long non-coding RNA. RefSeq lists it as uncharacterized. The transcript is spliced from 3 exons. Lineage: Eukaryota; Metazoa; Chordata; Actinopteri; Osteoglossiformes; Mormyridae. The record is from RefSeq and is a predicted model, not a curated record.